CUGACCCUCCCCCGUUCAUGCUCUGUCUCUCUGUGUCUCAAAAGUAAACAAACGUUAAAAAAAAAAAUUAAAAAAAAAAACACAAAGUAUUGGGGAAUCUUAAUCUUUCACCUGAUGACUGGAUAUUUUACGUUAGGAAUUUUGGUUAAUUUUUUUAGAUGGGAUAAUGAAGCUAUGAGUAUAGUUUUAAAAGGUUCCUUAUCCUUUAGAAACACACACUUAGGUAUUUAAAGAUGCAAUUAUAUGAUGUCUGGGGUUCACUGCAAAACAAUCCAGGAAAGGAGAUGGGGUGGGGGAGGGCGGUGUAGAUGAACUGAAUCGGCUAUAAGUUGAUAGCUAUCCAAACUUGCUAAUAUGUGUGAGUUCAUCAUCACAGCCUCUCUUUUCUGUACAUGUCUGAAAAUUUCCC
This is a long non-coding RNA of Herpailurus yagouaroundi (jaguarundi), 409 nucleotides long. RefSeq lists it as uncharacterized. The record is from RefSeq and is a predicted model, not a curated record. The transcript has 2 exons. NCBI's taxonomy places the organism in Eukaryota, Metazoa, Chordata, Mammalia, Carnivora, Felidae.